GAUGAACGCUAGCUACAGGCUUAACACAUGCAAGUCGAGGGGAAACGACAUCCAAAGCUUGGUUUUGAUGGGCGUCGACCGGCGCACGGGUGAGUAACGCGUAUCCAACCUGCACACCACUUGGGGAUAACCUGGAGAAAGUAAGAAUAAUACCCAAUGACGUCUCUAGAAGACAUCGGAAAGAGAUUAAAGAUUUAUUGGUGAUGGAUGGGGAUGCGUCUGAUUCGCUUGUUGGCGGGGUAACGGGCCACAAAGGCGACGAUCAGUAGGGGUUCGGAGAGGAAGGGCCCCCACAUUGGAACUGAGACACAGUACAAACUCCUACGGGAGGCAGCAGGGGAGAAUAUUGGUAUAUGGACGGGAGUCUGAGCCAGGCAAGUAGCGUGCAAGAUGACGGCCCGAGGGGUUGUAAACUGCUUUUAUAAGUGAAUAGAGGGAGUCUCGUGUUACUUUUUGCAUGUACCUUAUGAAUAAGGACCGGCUAAUUCCGUGCCAGCCGCCGCGGUAA
RNAcentral lists this ribosomal RNA (508 nucleotides) under uncultured bacterium. RNAcentral describes it as "partial 16S ribosomal RNA". It matches the Rfam family "Bacterial small subunit ribosomal RNA", at positions 28 to 523 of the family's 1533-position model. The record is from RNAcentral.